CGGACGGGUGAGUAACACGUGAGCAACCUGCCUUUCAGAGGGGGACAACAGUUGGAAACGACUGCUAAUACCGCAUAAAACAACGGAACCGCAUGAUUCUGUUAUCAAAGGAGAAAUCCGCUGAAAGAUGGGCUCGCGUCUGAUUAGAUAGUUGGUGAGGUAACGGCCCACCAAGUCGACGAUCAGUAGCCGGACUGAGAGGUUGAACGGCCACAUUGGGACUGAGACACGGCCCAGACUCCUACGGAAGGCAGCAG
RNAcentral lists this ribosomal RNA (257 nucleotides) under uncultured bacterium. Its description in RNAcentral is "partial 16S ribosomal RNA". It matches the Rfam family "Bacterial small subunit ribosomal RNA", at positions 99 to 354 of the family's 1533-position model. The record is from RNAcentral.